Molecule: ribosomal RNA, 797 nt
Filed under: uncultured Bacteroidota bacterium
Lineage: Bacteria; Pseudomonadati; Bacteroidota
Description: bacterial SSU rRNA
Rfam family: Bacterial small subunit ribosomal RNA
Source: RNAcentral
CAGGGGUAGCAAUACUCGCUGGCGACCGGCGCACGGGUGCGUAACACGUAUGCAACCUUUCUUUAACUGGAGAAUAGCUUUGAGAAAUCAGAAUUAAUACUCCAUAACACUGCGAAGUGGCAUCACUUUGCAAUUAAAGCUCCGGCGGUUAAAGGCGGGCAUGCGUCCCAUUAGCUAGUUGGCGAGGUAACGGCUCACCAAGGCUACGAUGGGUAGGGGUUCUGAGAGGAUUUACCCCCACACUGGCACUGAGAUACGGGCCAGACUCCUACGGGAGGCAGCAGUAAGGAAUAUUGGUCAAUGGGCGCAAGCCUGAACCAGCCAUGCCGCGUGUAGGAUGAAGGUCCUACGGAUUGUAAACUACUUUUGUACGGGAAAAAACCCCUUGUUUCUACGAGGGUUGAUGGUACUGUAAGAAUAAGGAUCGGCUAACUCCGUGCCAGCAGCCGCGGUAAUACGGAGGAUCCAAGCGUUAUCCGGAUUCACUGGGUUUAAAGGGUGCGUAGGCGGAAUGACAAGUCAGUGGUGAAAACCUACAGCUUAACUGUAGAACUGCCAUUGAUACUGUUAUUCUUGAGUGUAUUGGAUGUGAAUGGAAUGUGUCGUGUAGCGGUGAAAUGCUUAGAUAUGACACAGAACACCCAUUGCGAAGGCAGUUCACAACACUACAACUGACGCUGAGGCACGAAAGCGUGGGGAUCAAACAGGAUUAGAUACCCUGGUAGUCCACGCCGUAAACGUUGAUUACUAGAUGUGUGCGCGUUAGCGUACGUGUCAAAGCGAAAGCGUUAAGUAAU